RNAcentral lists this ribosomal RNA (432 nucleotides) under uncultured bacterium. Its description in RNAcentral is "partial 16S ribosomal RNA". It matches the Rfam family "Bacterial small subunit ribosomal RNA", at positions 29 to 507 of the family's 1533-position model. The record is from RNAcentral.
ACGAACGCUGGCGGCAUGCCUAACACAUGCAAGUCGAACGUGACCUUCGGGUCUAGUGGCGCACGGGUGCGUAACGCGUGGGAACCUGCCCUUAGGUUCGGAAUAACUCCCCGAAAGGGGUGCUAAUACCGGAUAAUGUCUUCGGACCAAAGAUUUAUCGCCUUUGGAUGGGCCCGCGUUGGAGUAGCUAGUUGGUAGGGUAAAAGCCUACCAAGGCGACGAUCCAUAGCUGGUCUGAGAGGAUGAUCAGCCACACUGGGACUGAGACACGGCCCAGACUCCUACGGGAGGCAGCAGUGGGGAAUAUUGGACAAUGGGCGAAAGCCUGAUCCAGCAAUGCCGCGUGAGUGAUGAAGGCCUUAGGGUUGUAAAGCUCUUUUACCCGGGAUGAUAAUGACAGUACCGGGAGAAUAAGCUCCGGCUAACUCCGUG